RNAcentral lists this ribosomal RNA (496 nucleotides) under uncultured bacterium. RNAcentral's name for it is "partial 16S ribosomal RNA". It matches the Rfam family "Bacterial small subunit ribosomal RNA", at positions 28 to 506 of the family's 1533-position model. The record is from RNAcentral.
GAUGAACGCUGGCGGCGUGCCUAAUACAUGCAAGUCGAGCGAACGGACGAGAAGCUUGCUUUUCUGAUGUUAGCGGCGGACGGGUGAGUAACACGUGGAUAACCUACCUAUAAGACUGGGAUAACUUCGGGAAACCGGAGCUAAUACCGGAUAAUAUUUUGAACCGCAUGGUUCAAAAGUGAAAGACGGUCUUGCUGUCACUUAUAGAUGGAUCCGCGCUGCAUUAGCUAGUUGGUAAGGUAACGGCUUACCAAGGCAACGAUGCAUAGCCGACCUGAGAGGGUGAUCGGCCACACUGGAACUGAGACACGGUCCAGACUCCUACGGGAGGCAGCAGUAGGGAAUCUACCGCAAUGGGCGAAAGCCUGACGGAGCAACGCCGCGUGAGUGAUGAAGGUCUUCGGAUCGUAAAACUCUGUUAUUAGGGAAGAACAUAUGUGUAAGUAACUGUGCACAUCUUGACGGUACCUAAUCAGAAAGCCACGGCUAACUACGU